RNAcentral lists this long non-coding RNA (522 nucleotides) under Coturnix japonica (Japanese quail). RNAcentral describes it as "lncRNA (ENSCJPG00005018870.1)". Lineage: Eukaryota; Metazoa; Chordata; Aves; Galliformes; Phasianidae. The record is from RNAcentral.
AUGGACUUUCCUCAGCUUGAGAAGAACAUAACACAAGAAGGAACGCCAGCCAUCUGGUUGGAUUGCCAUUACCCAAAACCGACUUGGAAGGCGAAAAUCCCCAUGAGCCAUCUCAGUAUGAAUGGCAUUUAUACAAAUCAGAUGAAAACAACAACGUCCCGAAUCUGUUCAGCAUCCUGGAGUGAAAUCAGCAGCAGUAGUAUUUGUCCCACAAGCAUCAAUUACGUUGAUAGAAUGAGCUUCCCUCAGAAGUUCCUCCUUUCCAGACCUACUCCCGGAUCACCUGGAAGCUACAGGUUCCUCACUCGAACCCGCCUCCCCCCAGCUGCUGUUGACAAACGGGGACCCCGAUGCCACGGAAGCAGCUCUCACCCUGGCCCACGAGGCAGCUCUCGGAGCGGAGUCAGACCCGUGCAGCAGUGCGGCCGCAAGGUGGCGAUGCAAGCACGGCUAUCUCCGCAGCCAGCAGAACCCAGGAGGUGCAUUUCAGCUGCCUGCAGCUGCCGAUCCUGCUCUCCUUAA